GUAGGUGGCAAGCGUUGUCCGGAAUUAUUGGGCGUAAAGCGCGCGCAGGCGGUUCUUUAAGUCUGAUGUGAAAGCCCACGGCUCAACCGUGGAGGGUCAUUGGAAACUGAGGAACUUGAGUACAGAAGAGGAAAGCGGAAUUCCACGUGUAGCGGUGAAAUGCGUAGAGAUGUGGAGGAACACCAGUGGCGAAGGCGGCUUUCUGGUCUGUAACUGACGCUGAGGCGCGAAAGCGUGGGGAGCAAACAGGGAUUAGAUACCCUGGUAGUCCACGCCGUAAACGAUGAGUGCUAAGUGUUAGGGGGUUUCCGCCCCCUUAGUGCUGCAGCUAACGCAUUAAGCACUCCGCCUGGGGAUACGGCCGCAAGGCUG
RNAcentral lists this ribosomal RNA (372 nucleotides) under uncultured organism. RNAcentral describes it as "partial 16S ribosomal RNA". It matches the Rfam family "Bacterial small subunit ribosomal RNA", at positions 527 to 896 of the family's 1533-position model. The record is from RNAcentral.